CCUACGGGUGGCUGCAGUGAGGAAUAUUGGUCAAUGGCCGAGAGGCUGAACCAGCCAAGUCGCGUGAGGGAAGACGGCCCUACGGGUUGUAAACCUCUUUUGUCGGGGAGCAAAGAGAGUCACGUGUGACUCAUUGUGAGUACCCGAAGAAAAAGCAUCGGCUAACUCCGUGCCAGCAGCCGCGGUAAUACGGAGGAUGCGAGCGUUAUCCGGAUUUAUUGGGUUUAAAGGGUGCGCAGGCGGAGGUGGAAGUCAGCGGUGAAAGGUUGCGGGUCAACCCCAUAAGUGCGGUGGAACUUGGCAGUCGUGAGAACAGCAGAGGUGUGCGGAAUGCGUGGUGUAGCGGGGAAAUGCUUAGAUA
This 361-nucleotide ribosomal RNA is filed under the name uncultured bacterium. RNAcentral's name for it is "partial 16S ribosomal RNA". It matches the Rfam family "Bacterial small subunit ribosomal RNA", at positions 338 to 696 of the family's 1533-position model. The record is from RNAcentral.